CAGUAGCCGCGGUAAUACGUAGGGUGCGAGCGUUAAUUGGAAUUACUGGGCGUAAAGCGUGCGCAGGCGGUUUUGUGAGACAGGCGUGAAAUCCCCGGGCUCAACCUGGGAAUGGCGCUUGUGACUGCAAAGCUAGAGUGCGGCAGAGGGGGAUGGAAUUCCGCGUGUAGCAGUGAAAUGCGUAGAUAUGCGGAGGAACACCGAUGGCGAAGGCAAUCCCCUGGGCCUGCACUGACGCUAAUGCACGAAAGCGUGGGGAGCAAACAGGAUUAGAUACCCCCGUAGUCCCUGUCUCUUAUAC
This 301-nucleotide ribosomal RNA is filed under the name uncultured bacterium. Its description in RNAcentral is "partial 16S ribosomal RNA". It matches the Rfam family "Bacterial small subunit ribosomal RNA", at positions 509 to 807 of the family's 1533-position model. The record is from RNAcentral.